AUAAUAUUAAUGGACAUAGAAUAAGAAUCCAGAGUGAAUUACUGCUAAUCCGUAUACCAAUUAUAUAAAACAUAAUUUUCAAUAUUUUUGUAUGGAGGGAGGAGCCCGCAAAGGCAAAAGCGCCAAGGGCCAGUGAAAGCCAUAAUGCAACCCUCUUUUCCUCAAAUAACAUGUUUCAGGGCCCACAAACUUUAUGGAGAGAGAAUGCUUUGCAAGAUCCGAGCGGAGUUCCUCAUGACCAUGUCCUUCUUUGGCGCAGUCCUUGGGAGAAUGGAACACAGCCGGCUUUGACCUUUGAGUCAGAAUAAAAAACAAAAAAGCUCUCUGGGAAGGAAGCAGAGGCUUGCAGCUAGACGAGAAGAGGGCUGGUGUUGAUUCAAUUGGCCCCAGGGCCUGGCAAGCCCAGACUGCCAAGCAGUGCCCCUGUCACCAGUGUGUCCGCUCUCAGCAGAGCAGAGCCCAGCUCAGACCCUUCAUAAAUAAAUAUUGCUUCAGGCCCAAGUGUGUUGACUUAAGAAAGCUUCACCUUUCCCUGGCAAUGCAGAUUGUUCUGGGGGGAGCAGCACUCCAGCUAAGAGUUCUCCAGGGAGCGAACACAGCCUGGAAUUUGCUUUCAAGCUUGGUCAAGCUUUUGGAGCGCUAAGUGCUCCAUCUUUCAGAAGCCAAGGUUUCCGUUUGUUGAUUAACCAGCUGCUUUAAUUUUCCUCCAAUCCCCCAAGUCCCCCCUACUUCCCUUUGUUUUUGCCUCACAGCGGUCCUUUAUGGAAGAGUGGGGUGACUGAAAUUUGCUUUCCUUAGGGCAGCUGGUGCCACUUAAAACACAACUUAAAAUUUACCUGGACGGUCUUUGUUAUGGGGUGAGUUGUGUCCCCUCUGCAAAGGUGUGUUGAAGUCCUAGUCCUUAGUACCUCAGAACAUGACUCUAUCUGGAAAUAGCCUCACUGCAGAUGAAAUUGAGUUAAGAUGGCGUUGCGCUAAUCUGAUGUGACUGGUUUCCUCAUGAAAAGAACAUUACUGUGUGAAGAGACAGAGACACAGAGACAGAAGACCGUCAUGGAAAAACAGAAGCAGAGAAAGGAGUUCUGCUGUGAGAAGCCAAGAAACAGCUGGGGCCACCAGCAGUGGACAAGACAAGGAAAGAUCAUCUUGUAGAGGCUUUGGAGGGAGCGUGACCCUGCCAAUACCUUGAUAUCAGACCUCUAGCCUUCAGAACCGUGAGAGAAUAAACUUCUGUUGUUUUAAGCUACCAAUUUGUGGUACUUUGUCCCGGCAGCCCUAGGAAACUAUACAGUCUUCAAAGCAAAUAAUCCACACAGCUAGAACCUCAAGAAUCAGUUGACUGAUGUAUAGUAAUCACACUGAGCCCUUGUUCAGUGUAAAAACCUUACUUCUCAAAGUUCUUCUUUCCCCAUUAUCUCACUUUUGAAUACUUUGUGACCCAGGGCAGAUUUUUAUGAUCCCUCAUUUUACAGAUGGCAAAAUCUGGAACUCAGGAUGUAAAUCAUUUACCCCAAGUCAUACGUUAAGUGUCUCUGUGGGUUAGAAGAAAACAAUGAGUAAUAGAAAUUCAAAAUCAGCCCUGCCUCUGACUAGACUUAUAGGGCCUUUGGUGAGUUACCUGUGUAUCUGAACUUUGGAAUUUCAAGUACGGUCACUACAUUUGCUUAAAGAGCAUUAAAAAUUACCUUAAACAUGAAAAACAAGAAAAGGUCAUAAUAUCGGAAUAAAAGACACAUCUUUCAAAUUCAAUAAAUUUAGUUAGUUUUUUUUUUAAAUCACUACUUUGUCUCCCCUGACCCCCAGAAGACAGAUAAAAGGAUUGGCAUUUGGGAACCACUUCUGAAAUCUCUCUAGGCCUCAUUUACCUUAUCAGAGAGUGUUGGAUUUCUCCUUGAGUCCCUUCUACCACUUCACGGUUUAUGAUUCUCUGACUCAAGCCCAGAUUCUCUUUCUACUGACACAUCUGGAAACAAGAACCCCUGGGUGUGCGUGGCGACAGCCAGAGUUCCCUGAUCAGGGGAACCGGUUGAAUGAAUGUCCAGCUUCUGUCCUGAGACCACAAUAUAGCCUGUGUUCUCUGAGAGAGCAACCAGGGGUUGCUGUGAUGGCCUCAGGUAAGCUGUGGGAAGAACUGCCUUCCUCUUAGAAAGCGACCCCUCCCAAUUUGAGGCAAAACAGUUUGGGAUUUGAUGUGCAAACUGCAGCCAGCUUUCUCCCUGCACCUCCUGCCAGCAGGCUGGCUCUGGCUGGCUUUGCUCUCCCCCUCAGCUGGAGAGCCCCUUGGGCUACCAGGCCAUCAGUCCCCACGGGUCACCUGGUUGGAAAAGCCAACCUAAAGAAUCCCAGGCUUCCACCACAGGCUGCCACUGGGCUAAGCCUGAAGCUUGAACGUGCCCCAUGGCUACGGUCAAUGAUUUUAUGCUCAUCGAUGAUAAUAAUAAUCUUUUGCACACCAUUUUUGAACUAUUUUUAAAAUGCAAUAUCUUUUGGGGUGCCUGGGUGGCUCAGUGGGAUAAGCGCCAACUCUUGAUUUCCACUCAGGUCGUGAUCUCACAGUUCGUGGGUUUGAGCCCCACAUCGGGCUCUGCACUGACAAUUUGGGGUCUGCUUGGGAUUAUCUCUCUCCCUCUCUCUGCACCCCCUCUCAAACAUAACUAAAUAAACAUUUAAAAUCCAAUAUCUUCUUAGCAUAAUAUCAUUGCUCAGAGAGAUCUUCAUGAAAGAGAUAGGACUGAAAGGGCUCCCCGAAGAGGCAGGUGGUAUUUGAUGGGAGAGUAGAGGUGGGAAGGAUGGUGUGGUCUGUGGGGGGACUAAAGGACAGUCUGGAGGGUGGGAGGCGUGGUGUUUACAGCUAGGGAAAGCCCUGCCUGAAGGGGACGCUGAAUUCCCACAGGGAGAAGAGGGGAUGAGCCAGAAGUAUAGAGAUGUCACAGGCUUCUGAGGCAGACACACUGGGUCACACCCUAGUUCGCUAGUGUUUUCUGCCACCGCCUGCCCCCUCACUGUGAGGGAAAGCUCUCCAAGGCCGGAAAAGUUAAGGGAUCAUGAAAGAUCCGGACAGGGCAGGAACGGAAUGAAUCUGACAGGCAGGGGUUCUAUUAAAACGUCCUUCAGGGAAACAGUCAGACUACCUCCACCCUCUCAAUCUUUUGACCUGGUUGUGUUUAGUCCCUCCUUUUCCCUGAGGGAAAACAGCCAGGGUAACAAAAAUCCAAGGAAAUCAACAGGUCUUCAGACAGACUUGACUCCUCUAAGGCCCUCUGACCAAAUGACCAAGCCAAAGAACCAUCCUUCUUCCCCUUUGCUCUCAGGCAGGGUCCACAACAAGGGCUGAGGAAGUGACCUGAAAUUCAGCCCUUCCCUUCUUGGAAGGAGCUUAUCAUGUCAAGGAGGAAAGCUUUAAAAAUGCACUCCUUUUUCAGUGCAGAAGGAAAAAGGAGUGGGGGGAAGAAUUUACUGUCCUGCAAUAGUUUUCAGAAUAUAGAGGAAAAAUAUUUUCUACAAUAGGGCACCUGCUCCCCCCAAUCUGAGUGGAGAGUCUGCAGCCUUAAAGAGAACUUUCUCUAGAAAAUUUCGCCUCUACUUUCAUAAUUGUCCCAAUUGGAAACCUAGAGGAAUUUUUAUCAUACAUGAUGUUGAUGUGUUUAUUUCUUUACUAUGUUUUGUUUGCCCACCAUUUCCUGUUGCACCUGUUGAGAUCCAGAUUUGGUAGUGUGUGAGGAAGUGAGGCAUGCCAACCUAGGAACCAGAGGAAGACUGGGAGCAAACACCUAAUUAAAAUGUAUUUGGUUUUCCAUGACUUUAUUUAAAUUUGCAAUUUUUUAAUGAAAGCAAUAUAUGUACCCUGUCAAUUUGGCAUUUUUACUAUGAAAGUAACUUAAGUACCAAUUAUAGAGUUUAAAAUGAGUAUAGGCUCAAAAUAAAAAUAAAAAUAAAAUAAAAUAAAAUAAAAUAAAAUAAAAUAAAAUAAAAUAAAAAUGGUUCCCAUAUGGUCUUGUUCUCCCCAUAUCUGACCACGGUAAUUGGUUCUUUAUACAUUUUAUAUAAAAAAGCAUUUAUGCAUAUAUAACUAUGAGAUGUAUCCUUUCUUUAAAACAGAAACACAAAUGGAACCAAUGCUAUGCAUAGUGUUAUAUAACUUGCUUUUCUCACUUAAAAAGCUUCCUUGGAGAGUCUUCUUUUUUUUUUUUUUAAGUUUGUAUGUUUAUUUUGAAAGAGAGAGAGCAGAGGAGGAACAGAGAGAGAGAGAAUCCAAAGUAGGCUCUGUGCUGACAGCACAGGGCUUGAACAGACAGGGCUUGAACCCACGAACCAUGAGAUCAUCACCUGAGCCAGAACCAAGAGUCAGAAGCUUAACUGACUGAGCCACCUCAGUGCCCCUGGAGAUUAUUAUUUAUUGGUAGUAUGAUCAUAUGUCCCAUACCAGACAGUCCUGAUCUACACAUUCUAAACCAGCAUACUUAUCAAUAGAAUCCCUUCCACUCUCAAGAAAGUAUCAGUUUGGAUAAAGCUUCUGGUCACUCUACGUGUCAGGCCAAAUGGAUCUUUUUUGCUUUCCACAACAUGGAAUGUCAUACCAUGGAUGCCUCAAAUGUAACGAAUCACCCAUCCAUGAACAUUUAUUUCUAGUUUUUAACAACUAGAAACCAUUCAACAGAGGGCCUCCUUGUACACUUAUCUUUGAACUCCUAUGAGGACACACGUACACAGUAAGUUCCCAGCAGUGAAAAUUGCUGGGCCUAAAGAUUUUUGUCUGUUAGAUUUUUUCUGCAAAAAUACUUUUAUUUGCUUUCUAAUUGAGGUAUUAUAUUCUGUUGUAUAAAUAUAUCACAAUUUAUUUAUCCACCUUUUACAUUUUGAGCACUCUCGCCAAAUACUUCUCCAAAAAGAAGUAACUAUAGGCAUAGGGACCAGCCCAGAGUAGCCCAGACCCUCCCCCACCUCUUCACUGGACUUCUGAUGGGCCAGGUCACAAUCCCCCACCCCUGGUGACAGCAGGUUCUCAUCUGGCUCCUCCCCUUCUCCUGCGGGUACCCAGCCUGCUUCCUCUAGAAGGCACUGCCUGGCUCCCCCACUGAGGCUGGGAUGGGGCCCCUUCCAUACAGUCCCAGCACCUGCUACUUCUCUGAUCACUGCACUCAUCACAUUGAACGAUAAUUUCGUCUUUAAUUCCCAUCUUCCCACUUGAACUCUAUGUUAAGUAAGAAAUUAACAAAUGUUACUGUAACAAAUGACCACAAACUGAGUGGCUUAAAACAGGACAAAUUUACUAUCGUACUGUUCUGGAGGUCAGAAGUCUAAAAUAGGUUUCCUUGGGGUAAAAACAAGCUGCGUGUAGGGCUGUGUUCCUUCUGGAGGGUCUAGAUAGAAUCUGGUUUUUUGGUUUUUCCAGCAUCUAGAUUCUGCCCUCAUUCCUUGGCUCAUGGCUGCUUCCGUCUUCAAAGGCAGCAACAACCAGUUGAAUCUUCCUUACGUCACAUCUCUCUGACACCGACUCUUCUGCCUCCUCCUCCUCCUCCAUUUAAGGAUCCUUGUGAUCAUAUUGGGUCCACCUGAGUAACCCAGGAUACUCUCUCUAUUUAAAACAUUUUUUUUACAUUUAUUUAUUUUUGAGAAACAGAGUGAGACAAAGCGUGAGCGGGGGAGGGGCAGAGAGGGAAGGACACACAGAAUCUGAAGCAGGCUCCAGGCUCUGAGCAAGCGGUCAGCACAGAGCCUGAUGCAGGGCUCGAACCCACGACCCGUGAGAUCGUGACCUGAGCUGAAGUCGGUCGCUCAACCAAUUGAGCCACCCAGGCACCCCUACUCUCUCUAUUUUAAAGUCAGUUGAUUAGCGACUUUAAUUCCAUCUGUAACCUUAAUUCCUUUUGCCAUGUUGCAUAGUAUAUUGACAGCAUUCAAGGAUUAAGACAUGGACAUCUUUGGGAUCCAUUAUUCUGCCUACCACAACCUCCAAGCUCUGCGAAGACAGAAAAUGUUUCAUAGUCUCUGUUGUAUCCCCAGUACCUGGAGCAGGGAAGUGCACAUCUUAACCGAAACAAUAGCAGAGUCUCUCCUCAGAAGAUUUGCAGCCUCAGCGCGGCAUGCUUUGCUAUGACUCAGAGCCUGCAAAUGCUGAAAAUACUACCACCAUGUUCCUCGGGAUGACAAAUCCUCCCAAAUGCUAUCACUACGGACUUCCUUCCAUGGCAGGCUUCGUGCCCAGUCUGCAAGUCAGCGUAAGCCCUAAGGCUCUGGGCUUCAGGAAAGCAAGUUUGAUUUCUGGAGGCCAUGUGGCACCCGCUUAUUCUCGGUCACAAUACAUGCCAACGUGCGGCAGGCUGAUUAUGAUCAUACAUUUGCUAUUGUAAACUCCAGCAAGCUUGAGGCCUAAGCAUUGAAGCCGGUUCAAAAGUCAUCACAAGUUUUCUCUUCCAGGGGAAAAAUAAAGAACUUCCAAUUAAAGUGUAGAGUGGAGCUCCUUCCAUCCCGUUCCGCUUGCCUUUCCUAAACUUUCAAGAAUAAAAAUAAAUCAGUUUUCUGACGGC
Acinonyx jubatus (cheetah) is the source of this 6527-nucleotide long non-coding RNA. RefSeq lists it as uncharacterized. The record is from RefSeq and is a predicted model, not a curated record. The transcript is spliced from 4 exons. NCBI's taxonomy places the organism in Eukaryota, Metazoa, Chordata, Mammalia, Carnivora, Felidae.